CCUGGCGGCCGUAGCGCGGUGGUCCCACCUGACCCCAUGCCGAACUCAGAAGUGAAACGCCGUAGCGCCGAUGGUAGUGUGGGGGCUCCCCAUGCGAGAGUAGGGAACUGCUAGGC
RNAcentral lists this ribosomal RNA (116 nucleotides) under Escherichia coli. The record is from RNAcentral. Lineage: Bacteria; Pseudomonadati; Pseudomonadota; Gammaproteobacteria; Enterobacterales; Enterobacteriaceae.